AGAGUUUGAUCCUGGCUCAGAUCGAACGCUGGCGGCAGGCUUAACACAUGCAAGUCGAGCGGAAACGAUGGUAGCUUGCUACCAGGCGUCGAGCGGCGGACGGGUGAGUAAUACUUAGGAAUCUACCUAGUAGUGGGGGAUAGCACGGGGAAACUCGUAUUAAUACCGCAUACGACCUACGGGAGAAAGGGGGCAGUUUACUGCUCUCGCUAUUAGAUGAGCCUAAGUCGGAUUAGCUAGAUGGUGGGGUAAAGGCCUACCAUGGCGACGAUCUGUAGCUGGUCUGAGAGGAUGAUCAGCCACACCGGGACUGAGACACGGCCCGGACUCCUACGGGAGGCAGCAGUGGGGAAUAUUGGACAAUGGGGGAAACCCUGAUCCAGCCAUGCCGCGUGUGUGAAGAAGGCCUUUUGGUUGUAAAGCACUUUAAGCAGUGAAGAAGACUCUUCGGUUAAUACCCGGAGACGAUGACAUUAGCUGCAGAAUAAGCACCGGCUAACUCUGUGCCAGCAGCCGCGGUAAUACAGAGGGUGCAAGCGUUAAUCGGAAUUACUGGGCGUAAAGCGAGCGUAGGUGGCUUGAUAAGUCAGAUGUGAAAUCCCCGGGCUUAACCUGGGAACUGCAUCUGAAACUGUUAGGCUAGAGUAGGUGAGAGGGAAGUAGAAUUUCAGGUGUAGCGGUGAAAUGCGUAGAGAUCUGAAGGAAUACCGAUGGCGAAGGCAGCUUCCUGGCAUCAUACUGACACUGAGGCUCGAAAGCGUGGGUAGCAAACAGGAUUAGAUACCCUGGUAGUCCACGCCGUAAACGAUGUCUACUAGUCGUUGGGUCCCUUGAGGACUUAGUGACGCAGCUAACGCAAUAAGUAGACCGCCUGGGGAGUACGGGCCGCAAGGUUAAAACUCAAAGGAAUUGACGGG
This 917-nucleotide ribosomal RNA is filed under the name uncultured bacterium. Its description in RNAcentral is "bacterial SSU rRNA". It matches the Rfam family "Bacterial small subunit ribosomal RNA", at positions 8 to 917 of the family's 1533-position model. The record is from RNAcentral.